RNAcentral lists this ribosomal RNA (253 nucleotides) under uncultured bacterium. Its description in RNAcentral is "partial 16S ribosomal RNA". It matches the Rfam family "Bacterial small subunit ribosomal RNA", at positions 524 to 776 of the family's 1533-position model. The record is from RNAcentral.
UACGGGGGGGGCAAGCGUUGUUCGGAAUUACUGGGUGUAAAGGGUUCGUAGGCGGUGUGGCAAGUCGGGAGUGAAAUCUCUGGGCUCAACCCAGAGUCUGCUUCCGAAACUGCUGUGCUUGAGUGUGGGAGAGGCGCGUGGAAUUGCAGGUGUAGCGGUGAAAUGCGUAGAUAUCUGCAGGAACACCCGUGGCGAAAGCGGCGCGCUGGACCACUACUGACGCUGAGGAACGAAAGCGAGGGGAGCAAACAGG